Molecule: unclassified non-coding RNA, 167 nt
Filed under: uncultured Sebacina
Lineage: Eukaryota; Fungi; Basidiomycota; Agaricomycetes; Sebacinales; Sebacinaceae
Description: sequence contains ITS1
Source: RNAcentral
UCGAUUGCGAAUUGUUGCCUUCAGUGCUGGCCGCUCGGCAAGUGCACGUUGGUGACUUUCAUCCAAACCCUGUGCACCAUUGGCCUCUGCUAGCUUCGGCCGGCAGAGGUAUUUUUUACACACACUCGAAUGUAAUGAAAUUAUUGUUGUGCGCAAGCACUAAUGUA